CUUCACCUGUGGAUUGCAAAGGAAGUGAGAACAUCCCCGAGCAAGACCAACAAUUGCUGGAUAAACACAAACCCCCUUGAGAAUCACUCCGACAGGUGCUGGCUCUUCACCUGGGGAUUGCAAAGCCUCACCGCCAUGGACAGUGUGCCCCUCAUCUGUGACUACGGCUCUGGCUUCAGCAAGGUGGGAUUCGCAGGAAUGGAAAGCCCAAUGGGCGUGUUCCCCACUGUCCUCGGGAAACUUCGGCACGAU
Cercocebus atys (sooty mangabey) is the source of this 252-nucleotide long non-coding RNA. RefSeq lists it as uncharacterized. The record is from RefSeq and is a predicted model, not a curated record. Lineage: Eukaryota; Metazoa; Chordata; Mammalia; Primates; Cercopithecidae. The transcript has 3 exons.